UACGAGUGCGUCGAGCGUUAUCCGGAAUCAUUGGGCGUAAAGAGCGUGUAGGCGGCUAUUUAAGUCCUGCGUGAAAUCCUGCGGCUCAACCGCAGACGGUCGUGGGAAACUGGAUGGCUAGAGUGCGGGAGAGGAGAGUGGAAUUCCCGGUGUAGCGGUGAAAUGCGCAGAUAUCGGGAAGAACAUCAGUGGCGAAGGCGGCUCCCUGGAACGCAACUGACGCUGAGACGCGAAAGCGUGGGGAGCAAACAGG
RNAcentral lists this ribosomal RNA (253 nucleotides) under uncultured bacterium. Its description in RNAcentral is "partial 16S ribosomal RNA". It matches the Rfam family "Bacterial small subunit ribosomal RNA", at positions 524 to 776 of the family's 1533-position model. The record is from RNAcentral.